UGGGGAAUAUUGGGCAAUGGGCGCGAGCCUGACCCAGCAACGCCGCGUGAAGGAAGAAGGCUUUCGGGUUGUAAACUUCUCUUCUCAGGGACGAACAGAUGACGGUACCUGAGGAAUAAGCCACGGCUAACUACGUGCC
RNAcentral lists this ribosomal RNA (139 nucleotides) under uncultured bacterium. Its description in RNAcentral is "partial 16S ribosomal RNA". It matches the Rfam family "Bacterial small subunit ribosomal RNA", at positions 355 to 509 of the family's 1533-position model. The record is from RNAcentral.